This 777-nucleotide unclassified non-coding RNA is filed under the name Hevea brasiliensis (rubber tree). The record is from RNAcentral. Lineage: Eukaryota; Viridiplantae; Streptophyta; Magnoliopsida; Malpighiales; Euphorbiaceae.
GCCUUGUCAAGGUCAAUAGCUGUUGGAGGCUUAUCCUUCCCAUUUGCAUACAGGAACACCUGAGCUUGUCUCAUCUGAUCAGUGAAGCCUGUCUGUUGGGAUAAUAUAUCAAGGGCACUCUGCCCAUUGUUCAACAUUGUUGCAGCAAUAAAAACAGAUUUAGCAAUCUGAGAAGGAAACAACUCCAUCAUAUAUGAUAUGCAAGCACCACCAAUAUCAUGUCCCACCAAGAUCACCUUCUCUCCUUCUUGGAGCUUGUUAAAAAUAUCAGUAAGUGGCUUUAUGUAUUGGGAUAGAGUCUUAAUGCUAUUUGUAUCAGAUGAAUGGGUGCCAGAUCCUGUUAAGUCAACAGCAUCAACUCUGAACCCACUUUCCACUAGAAGUGUUAUGAUUUUAUACCAACACCAGGCACCAAAACCACCUCCAUGAACAAGGACCAAAUGCUUGGUUUCAAGGUCUUCAAUCUUUAGAUCCUGGUUAACAAGCUGGCUUGGUUUCAACAAAGGAUCGGCAAGAGAUCGCUGUCUAGAGCUUGAACUCUUUGUAAAACCUUGCUUCUUAUGGGAUCCCUGCUGAGAAGCAUAUGUUACAGAAGAGGAUCUUGGGAAUGGAAGAGUGCCAUUUCUUUGAUGAUGGCGAAACAGCAUAGCUGCAGCAAUAGCUUGUUCUGCUAAAUCUUCAUCAAGCUGCUCUUCGUUAAUAUUAUUAAGAUUAUUCUCCUCUUUCUUGGAAGAAGAAAGAGAAGGUAAUAUGAAGCCAUGAUCUUUUCUAUUGGAA